RNAcentral lists this ribosomal RNA (496 nucleotides) under uncultured bacterium. Its description in RNAcentral is "partial 16S ribosomal RNA". It matches the Rfam family "Bacterial small subunit ribosomal RNA", at positions 28 to 506 of the family's 1533-position model. The record is from RNAcentral.
GAUGAACGCUGGCGGCGUGCCUAAUACAUGCAAGUCGAGCGAACAGAUGAGGAGCUUGCUCCUCUGACGUUAGCGGCGGACGGGUGAGUAACACGUGGAUAACCUACCUAUAAGACUGGGAUAACUUCGGGAAACCGGAGCUAAUACCGGAUAAUAUAUUGAACCGCAUGGUUCAAUAGUGAAAGACGGUUUUGCUGUCACCUAUAGAUGGAUCCGCGCCGCAUUAGCUAGUUGGUAAGGUAACGGCUUACCAAGGCAACGAUGCGUAGCCGACCUGAGAGGGUGAUCGGCCACACUGGAACUGAGACACGGUCCAGACUCCUACGGGAGGCAGCAGUAGGGAAUCUUCCGCAAUGGGCGAAAGCCUGACGGAGCAACGCCGCGUGAGUGAUGAAGGUCUUCGGAUCGUAAAACUCUGUUAUUAGGGAAGAACAAAUGUGUAAGUAACUAUGCACGUCUUGACGGUACCGAAUCAGAAAGCCACGGCUAACUACGU